RNAcentral lists this ribosomal RNA (258 nucleotides) under uncultured Staphylococcus sp. RNAcentral's name for it is "partial 16S ribosomal RNA". It matches the Rfam family "Bacterial small subunit ribosomal RNA", at positions 524 to 780 of the family's 1533-position model. The record is from RNAcentral. Lineage: Bacteria; Bacillati; Bacillota; Bacilli; Caryophanales; Staphylococcaceae.
UACGUAGGUGGCAAGCGUUAUCCGGAAUUAUUGGGCGUAAAGCGCGCGUAGGCGGUUUUUUAAGUCUGAUGUGAAAGCCCACGGCUCAACCGUGGAGGGUCAUUGGAAACUGGAAAACUUGAGUGCAGAAGAGGAAAGUGGAAUUCCAUGUGUAGCGGUGAAAUGCGCAGAGAUAUGGAGGAACACCAGUGGCGAAGGCGACUUUCUNGGUCUGUAACUGACGCUGAUGUGCGAAAGCGUGGGGAUCAAACAGGAUUA